Long non-coding RNA from Pan troglodytes (chimpanzee), 706 nucleotides. The record is from Ensembl. Lineage: Eukaryota; Metazoa; Chordata; Mammalia; Primates; Hominidae.
CCUAAUUUGAAACUUUUCAAUCAGUUUUAAUCUCCACAUCCCUCUGCUCGUCCAGAUUCUCGCUGUGCCUUGCAGAGGAAGUGCCAGCAUUCCAUGAGAACAACGGUCUCUGUGGAAUUUUUGGCUUGACCAGAAGCAGGAAGAGUAGGAAAUGUUAUUUUAAAAAGUCCCGUUUUUCACACUGCUGAUGUCUGGAGAGUCGAGAUAAGCUUUGAGCCUACUUCCAAAUCUCUGGGUGCUCCUCCAAGCGUGCUGGAAAUGGGGGUGUGAAACAUAGCUUGCUGAGCUGUCAAGAGGCAAGAUAAGGCAUUUGCAAUUGGCAGUGUUUCAAAGGACUCCAGAUUUCUCCAAAGAACCUAGAUUUCCCAGGUACUGAACAUGUGCAAAAUAGAAACAAACAUUCAAGAUGAGUGAGUGAUGAGUUCUGCCUGUGGUCAGAAGAAAACAACACUCCCAACUCUGCAACCUGAUCACAUCCCUACUUAGUCCUGUUUGUGGAGCCGCCUUAUUAACGACAUUAGAACAAAGAUAUGAAGCAGACAAUGAGGUCCUCCACCAGUGCUUCCUAGAACCUGGGGACAACACAGUUGCUAUGCAGCCAAUCCAUGCCCUGGAUGCAAGUUUCUCAGGCUCCAGUAUCAUUCUGGUCAUUCCUCUGCAAAACACUACUGAAAAAGCACUAAAGGAAUUGACAAAGGGAUUGUGA